GACGAACGCUGGCGGCGUGCUUAACACAUGCAAGUCGAACGAAGAGCGAUGGAAGCUUGCUUCUAUCAAUCUUAGUGGCGAACGGGUGGGUAACGCGUAAUCAACCUGCCCUUCAGAGGGGGACAACAGUUGGAAACGACUGCUAAUACCGCAUACGAUCUAAUCUCGGCAUCGAGGGUAGAUGAAAGGUGGCCUCUACAUGUAAGCUAUCACUGAAGGAGGGGAUUGCGUCUGAUUAGCUAGUUGGAGGGGUAACGGCCCACCAAGGCGAUGAUCAGUAGCCGGUCGGAGAGGAUGAACGGCCACAUUGGGACUGAGACACGGCCCAGACUCCUACGGGAGGCAGCAGUGGGGAAUCUUCCGCAAUGGACGAAAGUCUGACGGAGCAACGCCGCGUGAGUGAUGACGGCCUUCGGGUUGUAAAGCUCUGUUAAUCGGGACGAAAGGCCUUCUUGCGAAUAGUGAGAAGGAUUGACGGUACCGGAAUAGAAAGCCACGGCUAACUACGUG
This 510-nucleotide ribosomal RNA is filed under the name uncultured bacterium. RNAcentral describes it as "partial 16S ribosomal RNA". It matches the Rfam family "Bacterial small subunit ribosomal RNA", at positions 28 to 507 of the family's 1533-position model. The record is from RNAcentral.